GUGUCCUACGGGGGGCAGCAGUGGGGAAUAUUGGGCAAUGGGCGCAAGCCUGACCCAGCAACGCCGCGUGAAGGAAGAAGGCUUUCGGGUUGUAAACUUCUUUUAUCAGGGACGAAGCAAGUGACGGUACCUGAUGAAUAAGCCACGGCUAACUACGUGCCAGCAGCCGCGGUAAUACGUAGGUGGCAAGCGUUAUCCGGAUUUACUGGGUGUAAAGGGCGUGUAGGCGGGAGUGCAAGUCAGAUGUGAAAACUAUGGGCUCAACCCAUAGCCUGCAUUUGAAACUGUACUU
This 292-nucleotide ribosomal RNA is filed under the name uncultured bacterium. RNAcentral describes it as "partial 16S ribosomal RNA". It matches the Rfam family "Bacterial small subunit ribosomal RNA", at positions 334 to 640 of the family's 1533-position model. The record is from RNAcentral.